RNAcentral lists this long non-coding RNA (1253 nucleotides) under Gouania willdenowi (blunt-snouted clingfish). Its description in RNAcentral is "lncRNA (ENSGWIG00000007357.1)". The record is from RNAcentral. Lineage: Eukaryota; Metazoa; Chordata; Actinopteri; Blenniiformes; Gobiesocidae.
CAGAUGGUAAAAUUCCUCAUUCCAGAAUUUCUAGAUUGUUUAAAACUAUUUUCCAUGUGUAGAUGGAGUGAGCAAGAGGUUGGAGAGAGAUCCCAGAGGUUCUUUUACAAAUGGUACAUUUCAUCAUAUUUCUAUUGAACUAGCUUUUUCUUCUCAAGGAGAACCUAGCUCUGCUUCCUCCCUGUGCAGAUCACAGGGGAGCAAGAGCACACGCAUUCGAGGUGGCGCCAUUUUACACCAAGACCAGCUCACAAAAUGGUCGUUGCAGCUCCUUAACCCUUUAAAUGCCAGGGACACCUUCAACCACGGAUCAGGAAGUACCACCGACUGAGUGGUUGGCAGACAUCUCCAAUGAUGUGUAACAAAACAUCGGCCGAUACGCCUUGAGGAUAUCUGAAUCCCACCAGAAGGCUUCAUUGGUUGCUACGGACAGUGUUCACACCAGGGUACACGGUCUGAACCACAGACUGUCAGUGGCGGAGGCGCAGCAGCAGCAGCAGCAGCAAAGUCCCGGUGACGUGCCUGCGCUCGUUCGGGAGGAGUCGUGUUACCGCCCAGUCCGAGAAGUGGAGGAAGCUACUGAGCGGGGGGCGGGCUCUCCAAGACUAUACGAGCGUUGUCAUUGGCUCCGAACAGAUUGUUGUGUAACACGCGAAAACCGUGCAAAUUGUUGCAAUUGCGCAAACAAGGACAAUGGAGGUGGACCGUUACUUAGCGCCACCAUCCGGGACACUGGGUGAAAUUUAACUCACUUCGUGGAAAGGGAACGUGACCUGUUUGGUUGAGCCAACCGUGUGACAGUCCUAAGGAAGGAGAAAGGUAACCUGACGGCGUUUUUCUAGACCCAGUCGUUUCAAAGCCGGAUGAUUUGUGAUUACGAACACUUUGUUCUUUGUUGGUUUCUUAAGCGUCAACAUGUGGCUGAUAAAUCACCAUAUCUGACGGCGAUCGAAGCACACAAGACGACCGUGGGCGCCUGUUCUGGGUGCUUUCCUUUCUGGGGCUCCAAGCCCCAGGAGAUCUUCACAUCUCCUCUCCUCAUCUUCACAUCUCCUGACGAGGCUUGUCACUCUGAGUGCGAAAAGCAUCUUAUUCUGGUUCCUGAUCGAUUGGAAACCAGUUGUUCUUUCUCUCUGAAGUAAAGGUAAGAUCUAUAUCUUAUAAUGCAUUUUUAAAAUCAUUUAAACAAUUUUAUGAUGGGGGAGGGGACAUCUUAACAUCAGUUUUCUCUCAGAUUUUUCUAUUUUCUUUUU